Molecule: ribosomal RNA, 419 nt
Filed under: bacterium
Lineage: Bacteria
Description: partial 16S ribosomal RNA
Rfam family: Bacterial small subunit ribosomal RNA
Source: RNAcentral
UGGGGGAUAUUGCACAAUGGGCGAAAGCCUGAUGCAGCGACGCCGCGUGGGGGAUGAAGGCCUCCGGGUUGUAAACUUCUUUUGCUCUGAACAAGGCGCACCAUGGGGUGUGUUGAGUGUAGGGGUUGAUUAGCGCCGGCUAACUACGUGCCAGCAGCCGCGGUAAUACGUAGGGCGCGAGCGUUGUCCGGAAUUAUUGGGCGUAAAGGGCUUGUAGGUGGCUGGUUGCGUCUGUCGUGAAAGCUCAUGGCUUAACUGUGGGUUUGCGGUGGGUACGGGCUGGCUUGAGUGCAGUAGGGGAGGCUGGAAUUCCUGGUGUAGCGGUGGAAUGCGCAGAUAUCAGGAGGAAUACCGGUGGCGAAGGCGGGUCUCUGGGCUGUUACUGACACUGAGGAGCGAAAGCAUGGGGAGCGAACAGG